Falco peregrinus (peregrine falcon) is the source of this 1563-nucleotide long non-coding RNA. RefSeq lists it as uncharacterized. The transcript has 5 exons. Lineage: Eukaryota; Metazoa; Chordata; Aves; Falconiformes; Falconidae. The record is from RefSeq and is a predicted model, not a curated record.
AGUGCGCUGGCUGCGGCCCGACUUUUGUGGCGAAGCGGGGCUGCUAUCGAUAGAAAGCUGCAGGUUGGGCGGCGACCUGUAAGAAAACAAAGGUUUUAGCGCGUUACACGUCCCACCAGCUCGAGUCGGCGUGGCGUGGCGCGGGGCCGAGCCGUCACCUGUGGCGGGGCUGAGGGAAGAGCAGGCUGGGGGUGCAGUGAGGCUUCGCCCUGGAAGUGCUGUUGGAAGUUUGCUUCCGGUGUGUUUAGGUACAUUCGUCCUUAUGAAGGCGCUUUUGAACUUUGAAGUGAUGCUUUCCAGGCACGAAUGAAGCGAAGCAAGCACCUCUAGGGACACCAAAGAAGAUACUGCAGUUGGCGGUGGAUAUCAAACGGAGGAAACUGUAGCAGAGGCUAAUAGGCAAUGUAAGAAGGUAGGUGCAUCCAGAUACUGGCAGCCUUGUACAGUGAAAGAACUUUUUGUGGAUUUCGAGCAUUUUGAAAGAUACUUCUGUAAAACAACAUUCAACUGUGUCUUUCUCUCCACAUCCCACACCCCCGGCCCAUGGCGAAGACCUGGCAUUUUUUUCUAAAGGAGACAGAUCAUAAAGCUGUUCAAUACCCAGUCAGUCCUUAUACCUGAGAAUAACAAGAAAAAGGAAUGAUUUUGCUGUGCAGUACCAGUGAGUAACAGGAUCACUGUGAGAUACAACUGAUGAAGAAUACAUCAUGCAUAUAAACACUUACAGGACUGAAUGUUAGCAACUGAAAUAUUGAUAAAAUAAUGCUGGAAUGUAAUGUCAGAAACAGUGAAAAAGAUGGAGCCUCACAUCACUGCCACAGAAUGCUGCAGAAUAUAAUUAUUCAAACAAUGAUGUGAUUUUUUCUUUCCAUGAAAAAUUAUACAAUGACAAUAAAUAAAAUUAAACUCAUCAACACAUAAGUGGGAAGCUAUAACAACCCUUUCUAUGCUGGGGUAUAAGUGAUUAAAAGAAAAUAACGUAGCUAGAAAGUGACUAUUAAAACUGCACCUGGCAUUAGAUGCAAAAAUGGUCUAAAAGAAUAUGGAAUAUUUUACACUUUCCAAGUUUCCCUUGCUCCAGUGCAUUCCUUUUACAUAAAUAAUACUCAUCAGCUAUGUACGUCUACAAAGAGAGUGUAUAAUCAAUUCUUGCGGUCCAAAACCUACAUUAAUACCUCUUGCAUCUGUGUACCUGUAGACCUUGAAAGUCGAAUUCUUGAAAUCAAGCCCUGGCUAACCAGAAACAGUGGGCUAGAGCUCAAAACCUGAGCCUCAUCAUACUGCAUCAUUGGGUAUGGAUGGGGAAAAGUAGCUGAGAUGCAAAUUACCAAUUAGAAUAGCUAAUUGUGCUAUGCUUAUGAGAAAGUCAAACCAAAAAACCAAAGUGUGUCUCUGCAUACCUUGAUCAACCCUCUAAAUUGUUUGAUCUUCUAAUUUAGCUUUGAGAAAUGAUGACAACUCUUGUAAUUCUUUUCAGUCUGCUUAUUUCUAGCUUUUCAGCAAAUGACAAGCAUUUCAUUUAUCUCCUAUGCAAAGCAGAACCAAAAUUUGCAACAUCUAUGU